UGGGGAAUAUUGGACAAUGGGCGAAAGCCUGAUCCAGCCAUGUCGCGUGUGUGAAGAAGGUCUUCGGAUUGUAAAGCACUUUAAGUUGGGAGGAAGGGCAGUAAGCGAAUACCUUGCUGUUUUGACGUUACCGACAGAAUAAGCACCGGCUAACUCUGUUCCAGCAGCCGCGGUAAUACAGAGGGUGCAAGCGUUAAUCGGAAUUACUGGGCGUAAAGCGCGCGUAGGUGGUUCGUUAAGUUGAAUGUGAAAGCCCCGGGCUCAACCUGGGAACUGCAUCCAAAACUGGCGAGCUAGAGUAGGGCAGAGGGUGGUGGAAUUUCCUGUGUAGCGGUGAAAUGCGUAGAUAUAGGAAGGAACACCAGUGGCGAAGGCGACCACCUGGGCUCAUACUGACACUGAGGUGCGAAAGCGUGGGGAGCAAACAGG
This 429-nucleotide ribosomal RNA is filed under the name Pseudomonadota bacterium. RNAcentral describes it as "Proteobacteria bacterium partial 16S ribosomal RNA". It matches the Rfam family "Bacterial small subunit ribosomal RNA", at positions 355 to 776 of the family's 1533-position model. Lineage: Bacteria; Pseudomonadati; Pseudomonadota. The record is from RNAcentral.